AUUCAAAUAGCUUAUAUUAGAGUAUAACACUGAAGAUGUUAGGGUGAUUAGUUUAAUCUUUGAAUA
Molecule: transfer RNA, 66 nt
Filed under: Cochliomyia hominivorax (primary screw-worm)
Lineage: Eukaryota; Metazoa; Arthropoda; Insecta; Diptera; Calliphoridae
Description: tRNA-Phe
Rfam family: tRNA
About the family: Transfer RNA (tRNA) molecules are approximately 80 nucleotides in length. Their secondary structure includes four short double-helical elements and three loops (D, anti-codon, and T loops). Further hydrogen bonds mediate the characteristic L-shaped molecular structure. tRNAs have two regions of fundamental functional importance: the anti-codon, which is responsible for specific mRNA codon recognition, and the 3' end, to which the tRNAs corresponding amino acid is attached (by aminoacyl-tRNA synthetases). tRNAs cope with the degeneracy of the genetic code in two manners: having more than one tRNA (with a specific anti-codon) for a particular amino acid; and 'wobble' base-pairing, i.e. permitting non-standard base-pairing at the 3rd anti-codon position.
Source: RNAcentral